UUAUGCAGUGCCAUUGAUGCACAACAAUUUGAACUUGUGUUUUGUAAGGAAACACUGGCAUGUUUUGCAAGAUUCUCCAUCUUUUCUUCCAAACUCCAAAUGUAUGUUUUAUUACACAUCGUAACGAUGAAUGGACACGGUUGAAUAUUUCUUCCCGACUUUGCAGUUGUUCUCGUUGAUGAAAUUCUGGAAGAUAAUAUCUCUCACCUCUAUAUGGCCCCAAGUAACCAUACUCAUUUGGAUAUCCCGAAUCAACGAGAUAAUACUUCCCUGCAAUAAGAUAAUGAUAGUACAAAACUUAUUCUCUAUUGCAGACACAAUAAAUUUAUUCAAAUUGAACAACACUUAAAUUUUUUAUUUCGCAUACCUUCUUGUGGCUUCGGAAAUCUUAUAUUUGGAUUGUCAAUCGUCUCAUGAAAUAUUAUUGUAUCGUGUGCACUACCUUUCCACCCAGCCUAAACAAAUGUAAAUUGCAUGUCAAAACUACAUGCUGCCAUUAUAUUUUGAGUUGGUACACCUUUUCUACCAAUAAAUGGUAUUUGAUUUGCUUGUGAUACACAAGCACGCACAUGUGUUCCAUCAAUCGCGCCAAUACAGUUCUA
RNAcentral lists this long non-coding RNA (602 nucleotides) under Populus trichocarpa (black cottonwood). RNAcentral's name for it is "long non-coding RNA (PTRI_LNC004744)". Lineage: Eukaryota; Viridiplantae; Streptophyta; Magnoliopsida; Malpighiales; Salicaceae. The record is from RNAcentral.